Molecule: ribosomal RNA, 466 nt
Filed under: uncultured bacterium
Lineage: Bacteria
Description: partial 16S ribosomal RNA
Rfam family: Bacterial small subunit ribosomal RNA
Source: RNAcentral
ACGAACGCUGGCGGCGUGCUUAACACAUGCAAGUCGAACGGAAAGGCCCUGCUUUUGUGGGGUGCUCGAGUGGCGAACGGGUGAGUAACACGUGAGUAACCUGCCCUUGACUUUGGGAUAACUUCAGGAAACUGGGGCUAAUACCGGAUAGGAGCUCCUGCUGCAUGGUGGGGGUUGGAAAGUUUCGGCGGUUGGGGAUGGACUCGCGGCUUAUCAGCUUGUUGGUGGGGUAGUGGCUUACCAAGGCUUUGACGGGUAGCCGGCCUGAGAGGGUGACCGGCCACAUUGGGACUGAGAUACGGCCCAGACUCCUACGGGAGGCAGCAGUGGGGAAUAUUGCACAAUGGGCGGAAGCCUGAUGCAGCAACGCCGCGUGCGGGAUGACGGCCUUCGGGUUGUAAACCGCUUUCGCCUGUGACGAAGCGUGAGUGACGGGAAUGGGUAAAGAAGCACCGGCUAACUACGU